This 477-nucleotide ribosomal RNA is filed under the name uncultured bacterium. RNAcentral's name for it is "bacterial SSU rRNA". It matches the Rfam family "Bacterial small subunit ribosomal RNA", at positions 365 to 832 of the family's 1533-position model. The record is from RNAcentral.
UUCGCAAUGCCCGAAAGGGUGACGAAGCGACGCCGCGUGUGGGAAGAAGGCCUUCGGGUUGUAAACCACUGUUGGGAGUUAGGAAAUGUGGAGGUGUUAAUAGCGCUUUCACUUGACUAAAGCUCCAGAGGAAGCCACGGCUAACUCUGUGCCAGCAGCCGCGGUAAUACAGAGGCGGCAAGCGUUGUUCGGAAUUAUUGGGCGUAAAGAGCACGUAGGCGGCUCUGCAAGUCAGCUGUGAAAGCCUUCUGCUUAACGGAAGAACGGCAGUUGAAACUACAGGGCUUGAGUGCGGGAGGGGAGAGUGGAACUUCUGGUGGAGCGGUGAAAUGCGUAGAUAUCAGAAGGAACGCCGGCGGCGAAAGCGGCUCUCUGGUCCGUAACUGACGCUGAGUGUGCGAAAGCUAGGGGAGCAAACGGGAUUAGAUGCCCCGGUAGUCCUAGCCGUAAACGAUGGGCACUAAGUAGAGGGGUUUU